This 221-nucleotide long non-coding RNA is filed under the name Elaeis guineensis (African oil palm). RNAcentral's name for it is "long non-coding RNA (EGUI_LNC073503)". The record is from RNAcentral. Lineage: Eukaryota; Viridiplantae; Streptophyta; Magnoliopsida; Arecales; Arecaceae.
GGACCGUCCUGUUUAGUUCAAAUCCAACAGCUUGCCGCCACUCGCCGGCGAUGAAAAAACAACCAGGAAAAGAAGGAAGGGGAGGAAAGGAGCUUAUCUUGCUCUGACAAUCGAGAAGAACUCUGACGAUCCUGUCUUCCCAUCCAAGAACUCACAAAAAAUCCUUGGAGACAUUUCGAUGAGCUCUCAAAAUCUUUGAUGAAGAUUUAAGAGAGGAGAGG